GAAGAUUGUUCUAUUCUCCCAUUUUACAUGGUAUUAGAGCCGUGUGUCAUCUGUUUUUUUUUUUUGUCUUUUCAAAUCGGUGUUGCCAGCUAGCUCACAAAAUUAUCUGUAAGUGACUUGGUUGGUUACUUUUGAUACUGAGAGGUACUUGGAACUUGAUAUUUCAAUCUCACAACCAACCUAGGGUGGUCCACCUCUCCCGAUAUGUAAGAAUCAAAAUCUGGUGAUUGGCAAAGAAGAGUGUGAGGCGUAAGCUUCGGUGAACUAUUUCAGGCAGUUUUUGUAUACAAUUCACGUAAGGGCGUGUGUAAAAUCUAAAUCGAGCAUUUAUUUGUUUCUAGUACCAUCUAAAUAUUUGCAGGUCAGAUUUUGUUGUCUUUUUUUCAAUAGACCUCAGUUGGGUUAUUUUUCAAUUAUCGCAAAUUCCUUGAACUGUAUUUUUCUUCAAUAAAAUCAAUUGACAUGUAUUUGUUGAUUUUUGUGUUGGAUUGCUGCUAAAAUUUUGUUCUAAUUUUCCUCUCUCUAACUUGAUUUAUUUUUUACUCUAAGUGAACAAUCAGUUUGAUUGGAUCAACCAAACUCUAUUAACUCUUGCAAAAAUCUGGAAAUCUGUUGGGAUAUUUCUACUUCAUGGAAUUUUAUUGGUUUCACCUCUCAAUUUAUUUUUGUUAUAUUUAAUAUUUAAUUUGAACAAUGAAUGAUCAUAGUACGGUAACUCAAAGGUCUAAUGUCCUUGGAGCUUCUAGUUUUUUAUCUCACAAAAUGAAUUUGAUUUCGAUUGAGGAGUUAGCUAUAUUCUUUUUGAUAUCCAAAAACCACUUCAGUUAUUGCUUUUGCUAAGUCCUAUGAAGUAUGUCUUGCUACCGCUUCAAAUAAAUGGGUUGCUGAUUAGGUGCUACAAAUCACAUGACAUGUAAUCCUAAUAUCUUAUCAAGCUUUUGACCAUACAAAGUACUAUUUCUCUAUAGUGUAGAUGAUAGAUCAACUUGUAACAAUAUUGGAUCUUUAAAUGUUAAGCUAACCCCUCAAGUACCCUGCCGUUUGUGUUAAAUCUACCAAAAUUGUCAUUUCUUAAUCUUACAACGAAUCAGGUAUUUAGAAAAAGAUAUGUAUAUGAUGAUCUUUACAUCUUCGAUGACUGGGAGUAUCAACGUAUUGCCUGCUCCAGGGUUGUAAUUCCAUUUGAAGCAUAUUGUCGAUUGGGACAUCUUCCUUACCUUAGUUAAGGAAGCUUAGCACACAAUUUCAGGAUAUUUCUUUCUUGGACCGUGAGUCAUGUCGAUUUGCAAAACACCAUCGUAUCUUGUUAUUUCAAAGGAUGAAUAAUCGAGUUGCAUCACCUUUUGAGUUAGUCCAUUCUGAUGUCUGAGGACCAUGUCCAGUUGUUUCUGAAAUAGGGCAUAAAUAUUUUUUCACUUUUUUAGAUGAUUUUUUUUCGAAUGACUUUAAUUUACUUUAUGAAGAGUCGAUCUGAAGUGUUUACUUAUUUUCUGCAUUUUGUGCUGAAAUCAAAACUUAGUUCAAUGCCUCAGUCCGUAUUUUAAGGAGCGCAAAUACUAAAGAAUAUAUGUCAAAAACAGAUCCCACAUGACUCAACACGGUACUCUCCAUCAGAAUUCAUGUGUUAAUACACUAUAUCAACGUGGAGUUGCUGAGAGAAAGAGUAGACAUCCAUUUGAGACAACUCGGGCUCUUUUGUUCCAAAUGAAGGUUCCUAAACAAUUUUGGGUUGAUACGGUCCCUACUGCUUAUUUUUUUUAUAAAUUACAUGCCACCGACUAUGUUUGAUGGUAAUGUGACUUAUAAUGUUCACAUUCCAAAUAAGUCACUAUUUUUAGUAGAACCUAAGGUAUUUGGAAGCACAUGUCACGUUUGAGACGUUCAACCAUCAAUUACAAAGGUUGAACCCAAGGCAUUCAAGUAUGUUUUUAGGGUUAUUCUCGCCUUUGAAAAGGGAUAUCGAUGUUGUUCUACUAAGCUUGGUAGAUAUUUGGUAUCAAUUGAUGUGAUAUUUUUUGACACUACACCAUUCUUAUUUGAACCUCCUAUUUCUACAAGUCAGGGGGAGGAAGAAUAGUGGUUAGUCUACCAGGUUACUCGUGUUGUGGCUAAAAAAAUCAAGAAGACGUUGUUCUUACCUAUACCAAUCCUUCUGUUGGGCACUAAUCCACUAUUGUUCCAUCAGUUCCUGUUGUACAUGCUCUAUCAAGACCGCCUAUUGUUCAAGUUUACUUGAGCAGGUGGGAAAUCGAUGAUACAAUUCCUUUCUCAUCAGAUGUUACUCUUCUUAAUCCUCCAAAAUAUCAUGACCUCCAUAUUGCUCUUCGAAAAGGUAUAUGAUUGCCUCUCUAGACGCUAUAUCUAUUACCAAAAUACUGAAGGAUACCUUGAACCAUCCUGGAUGGCAUGAUGCAAUGCUUGAGGAAAUACAUGCUUCAUAUGAAACACUUCAUAUUUGGUAGAUUUAACCAAAGGAAAGAAAGCAAUUGGAUGCAAAUGGAUCCUUGCUGCCAAAUUUAAUCAUGAUAGCUCUUUUGCAAGACUUAAGGUCAGACUUGUGGCUAAAGCUAUGCCUAGACUAUGAUGUAGCUUAUUCUGAGACCUUCUUCGAAAUAUCUAAGCCCGCCUUUGUUCGCUUGUUUAUUUCUUUGGUUGCUUUUCAUCAUUGGCUCUUCAAUCAAUUGGAUAUCAAAAAUGCAUUUCUUCAUGGUGAUCUGAAUGAAGAAGUGAAUACAGAGCAACCACCUGGAUUUGUUUCUCAGGGGAAGUAUGAGAAGGUUUGUCAUAUGAGAAAAUCUUUCUAUGGUCUAAAGAAAAGUCCUCGUUCUUGGUUUGGAAAAUUUAGCGAUGUAGUUUAGGAAUUUUGAUUAAAGAAGAUCAAGUGUGAUCACUAUGUUUUCUACAGAUAGUCAACAAUUGGUAAUAUUGUUUUGGUUGUUUAUGUUGACGAUAUUGUUAUUACAAGAGUUGAUUGUACAGGAAUUUAUUUAUCUGA
This is a non-coding RNA of Solanum lycopersicum (tomato), 2995 nucleotides long. NCBI's taxonomy places the organism in Eukaryota, Viridiplantae, Streptophyta, Magnoliopsida, Solanales, Solanaceae. The record is from RefSeq and is a predicted model, not a curated record.